CUCAUGUAAACUGCGUCGUUUCCAGUUGACGGAUCACAGCCAGACAUGAAAUGCUGCGUUAUGUAUAAGUAGGUACUUCCUUAAGUCACUCCGUUCUACGGAAUCACGAUUAAUCCAGGCGUGGGUGAAGUAGAUCAACACCAAGCUGGUGCAAACUUUUAACUAUCAAGGAGCUGGAGCAGGAAAGCGGCAGGAAAGUUUCGCGGAGUUCGUCUAUCCGGUGAUCAGAAAGGACACAAAGAGAAUCGGUCUAUAUAAGGGUCGACUCCAACGCGCUGCGUGGAAUCCCAAACAGUUG
Molecule: long non-coding RNA, 298 nt
Organism: Frieseomelitta varia
Lineage: Eukaryota; Metazoa; Arthropoda; Insecta; Hymenoptera; Apidae
Exons: 3
Source: RefSeq, a predicted model, not a curated record